CAGCCGUAAACUAUGCGCGUUAGGUGUAUCGGUGACCACGAGUUACCGAGGUGCCGAAGGGAAACCGUGAAACGUGCCGCCUGGGAAGUACGGUCGCAAGGCUGAAACUUAAAGGAAUUGGCGGGGAGGCACCACAACAGGUGGAGCCUGCGGUUUAAUUUGGACUCAACGCCGGGAAGCUCACCGGAUAGGACAGCAGAAUGAUUGCCGGGCUGAAGACCCUGCAUGACUAGCUGAGAGGAGGUGCAUGGC
This 252-nucleotide ribosomal RNA is filed under the name uncultured archaeon. RNAcentral's name for it is "partial 16S ribosomal RNA". It matches the Rfam family "Archaeal small subunit ribosomal RNA", at positions 748 to 998 of the family's 1478-position model. The record is from RNAcentral.